Molecule: ribosomal RNA, 425 nt
Filed under: uncultured bacterium
Lineage: Bacteria
Description: bacterial SSU rRNA
Rfam family: Bacterial small subunit ribosomal RNA
Source: RNAcentral
GUGGGGAAUAUUGCACAAUGGGGGAAACCCUGAUGCAGCGACGCCGCGUGAGUGAAGAAGCGCCUCGGCGCGUAAAGCUCUGUCAGCAGGAACGAUAAUGACGGUACCUGAAGAAGAAGCCCCGGCUAACUACGUGCCAGCAGCCGCGGUAAUACGUAGGGGGCAAGCGUUAUCCGGAUUUACUGGGUGUAAAGGGAGCGUAGACGGCGGGGCAAGUCUGGAGUGAAAGGCCGGGGCCCAACCCCGGGACCGCUCUGGAAACUGCCCGGCUGGAGUGCGGGAGAGGUAAGCGGAAUUCCUAGUGUAGCGGUGAAAUGCGUAGAUAUUAGGAGGAACACCAGCGGCGAAGGCGGCUUACUGGACCGUGACUGACGUUGAGGCUCGAAAGCGUGGGGAGCAAACAGGAUUAGAUACCCCAGUAGUCC